CGGAUAGCAUCUGGCUGCUUGGUUCUACUGCUGAUACAGCUCGCGUUACCUUGGAUACAGGUAACAGCCGCACUUCAUGUAGCCAGAAGCGUGAGAAGUUACUUCUAUACAUCUGAAUUCUAUCUUUGGCAUCAUUUUGUACACCAUUUGGCAAGCCGUAUAGUAGGUCAUAAAACAUUCUAAACACAUUGUUUCCAAAUUUUGUGAGAGGGAUACUGUAAAUGGACAGCCUCCUCUACUAUUACUUUUCCUCAACGUAAGCAGUUGAUACCAGAGCUAAUUUUCAAAUUUUGGCAGACCUGUGUACUUGUCGACAUGCUCCUUGUAGAGUUGCACCUGCCAGAAGGGCAACCACACGCAAUCGCUGGGGGAACAACAAAAAUAACAUAGCAUUAAUACUGAAAAAAAUCUGUUUGAAUUGCAGUCUCUGAAAUAGAAGGAAACAUCAGACUUCGAUAUCGAUAUUUAAAAGAUGCAGGUUGCUGGUCUGAAAGGACACACGAUACGAGACUGCUAAUAAAAUGGUAGUUAACAGCCAUUAUGCUUCAUCAAUUAUCUUCAUGCUGAUUGCUGCGAAAUAUCACUAUGCAAAUACAAAUUGUUUAUAACAGAGUAAAUUAGAUUUUGUAUACUGUCAUUUUAAAUAAAACACCAACACUUUUAAUGAUAUACUUUAUCAACUAAAUAAUUGUGUAGUGUCUGGUAGAUUAAGCUGAGACGUUCCUCUCAAAACUCUAACACACAGAACAGAAGAAUAAUGAUUGUUAAGUUUUUGUUCUUUGUUUUAGAAAUAAAAUUAUCUGAGAUAUUAU
Schistocerca cancellata (South American locust) is the source of this 812-nucleotide long non-coding RNA. RefSeq lists it as uncharacterized. The transcript has 4 exons. The record is from RefSeq and is a predicted model, not a curated record. Lineage: Eukaryota; Metazoa; Arthropoda; Insecta; Orthoptera; Acrididae.